RNAcentral lists this ribosomal RNA (254 nucleotides) under uncultured bacterium. RNAcentral describes it as "partial 16S ribosomal RNA". It matches the Rfam family "Bacterial small subunit ribosomal RNA", at positions 524 to 776 of the family's 1533-position model. The record is from RNAcentral.
UACGUAGGGGGCGAGCGUUGUCCGGAUUUAUUGGGCGUAAAGAGCUCGUAGGCGGUUUGGUAAGUCGGGUGUGAAAUCUCCACGCUCAACGUGGAGGGGCCAUUCGAUACUGCCAUGACUUGAGUCCGGUAGAGGAGUGUGGAAUUCCCGGUGUAGCGGUGAAAUGCACAGAGAUCGGGAGGAACACCAGUAGCGAAGGCGGCACUCUGGGCCGGUACUGACGCUGAGGAGCGAAAGCGUGGGGAGCGAACAGG